RNAcentral lists this long non-coding RNA (323 nucleotides) under Cricetulus griseus (Chinese hamster). Its description in RNAcentral is "lncRNA (ENSCGRG00015038625.1)". The record is from RNAcentral. Lineage: Eukaryota; Metazoa; Chordata; Mammalia; Rodentia; Cricetidae.
UGACUUCUGGCCCCUCCUCUUUCUACUUCUCCAUGGGGCUGCUCUGGCAGCCAGCCCUGCACACUUCGCUCUUUGCUGGUAGAAGGUUCACAUCGCAUCUGGUCCUAAGCUCCACAGUUGAGUUGUCCCAUAAGUAGCCAGCACAAGGCAGACUUUGGAGGCCUGUCCCCCAUCAUUGUGCGACCCCAGAUACAACACAAGAAAGAAGUGUCAAGUGGGAGGAAUAAUUGACGCAACACCGGGCUAGCCCUAAACAAGACAUUUAUACCAGUGCCUCCAAGGCUCAAGGAGCAUUGAAGAAGAGUAAGCAGAAAGAAUGCAGG